CGUGGGGCCAAAUGACAUACAAAUAUAUAAAGUAAGAAAUAUUUUAUUUGGCAAAAGUACAAAAUUGUACGGCCACGGCUUGACAAAGAAUGAGACUGCCGAGAAACAUAAUUGGCAAGUCCCUAGUAUAUAUAAUUAAACCUUAUAGUCCAUUCCUUAUUCCUUAUUUCCACAUUAUUGUCCAUUCCUUAUUCCUUAUUUCCACAUUAUUGUCCAUUCCUUAUUCCUUAUUUCCACAUUAUUCUUAUUCCUUAUUUCCACCUUAUUGUUAUUCCUUAUAAUGUCAUUUCCUUAUAUAUCAAUAUAAUAUCCUUAUUAACAUUAUUGCUUCCAACAUAUAUCGGAUGCUGGCCCUGGGAAACAGAAGCUCAGCGGAUACAUAAUUCCAUUAUAAGAAGCAUAAUAUAUUUGUAGAUGUUGUGUCGCUAUUUUCGCCAUUAAAUGGUCGGAGUCUUUGUCUGAAGCCGUGACGAAGGAUUGGGAUUACAAUGGUCGGAGUCUUUGUCUGAAGCCGUGACGAAGGAUUGGGAUUACAAUCGGAAUAAGCUACCAGUCAUUUCAACCUGAAAAAUAGAACAAAAACAGCAGAAAAACGAACAACAUGAUAUAACAUAAUAUAACAUUUAACACAUGUAUAUUAACUACAUUUUAGGAGUAUAUAUGUCUUUAAUCUAAGUGGUGGGUGGGUGGGUAACUUUUGAAACAAACAUUAGUUAAUUCAUACGGAACCCAAUUUUUUGGUCUUCCCUCUGCUGUAUCGUACGUGGUAAAGAAAGAAUGAUGACGUCACAGUUAUCAAGGUUAAAAUAAUUAACGUGACUCAUAAUACAUAACAAGUUCCACCACGUGUUCAAAGCGGGACAACUCCCAAAACGUAAGCCCACUUUCCUCCGAUAACCGGAUUUAUUCUUCAUAGGAAUAAAUCUUAUUAUAUG
RNAcentral lists this long non-coding RNA (935 nucleotides) under Mytilus galloprovincialis (Mediterranean mussel). Lineage: Eukaryota; Metazoa; Mollusca; Bivalvia; Mytilida; Mytilidae. The record is from RNAcentral.